UACGAAGGGUGCUAGCGUUGUUCGGAAUUACUGGGCGUAAAGCGCACGUAGGCGGCCUAUUAAGUCAGGGGUGAAAUCCCGGGGCUCAACCCCGGAACUGCCUUUGAUACUGGUAGUCUCGAGUCCGGAAGAGGUGAGUGGAAUUCCGAGUGUAGAGGUGAAAUUCGUAGAUAUUCGCAAGAACACCAGUGGCGAAGGCGGCUCACUGGCCCGGUACUGACGCUGAGGUGCGAAAGCGUGGGGAGCAAACAGG
Molecule: ribosomal RNA, 253 nt
Filed under: uncultured bacterium
Lineage: Bacteria
Description: partial 16S ribosomal RNA
Rfam family: Bacterial small subunit ribosomal RNA
Source: RNAcentral